GUGGGGAAUCUUAGACAAUGGGGGAAACCCUGAUCUAGCCAUGCCGCGUGGACGAUGAAGGCCUUAGGGUUGUAAAGUCCUUUCAGCUGGGAAGAUAAUGACGGUACCAGCAGAAGAAGCCCCGGCUAACUCCGUGCCAGCAGCCGCGGUAAUACGGAGGGGGCUAGCGUUGUUCGGAAUUACUGGGCGUAAAGCGCACGUAGGCGGACUAUUAAGUCAGGGGUGAAAUCCCGGGGCUCAACCCCGGAACUGCCUUUGAUACUGGUGGUCUAGAGUUCGAGAGAGGUGAGUGGAACUCCGAGUGUAGAGGUGAAAUUCGUAGAUAUUCGGAAGAACACCAGUGGCGAAGGCGGCUCACUGGCUCGAUACUGACGCUGAGGUGCGAAAGCGUGGGGAGCAAACAGGAUUAGAUACCCUUGUAGUCC
This 425-nucleotide ribosomal RNA is filed under the name uncultured bacterium. Its description in RNAcentral is "bacterial SSU rRNA". It matches the Rfam family "Bacterial small subunit ribosomal RNA", at positions 354 to 796 of the family's 1533-position model. The record is from RNAcentral.